Molecule: transfer RNA, 63 nt
Filed under: Heterocephalus glaber (naked mole-rat)
Lineage: Eukaryota; Metazoa; Chordata; Mammalia; Rodentia; Bathyergidae
Rfam family: tRNA
About the family: Transfer RNA (tRNA) molecules are approximately 80 nucleotides in length. Their secondary structure includes four short double-helical elements and three loops (D, anti-codon, and T loops).
Source: Rfam by way of RNAcentral
GGGGAUUUAGCUCAGUGGUAGAGCGCUUGCCUAGCAUGCGUGAGGUCCUGGAUUCAAUCACCA